AAACCUCUCUUUGAUACUGCGGUUAAUGGAUGAAGGUUAGAAAAGUUUAAUAUUCACACCUGCUCCUGUGGUAUUCAUGUCAGACUCUGAUGGUUGUUAUGAAAACAACAGUCAACUAUUGUGCUCACUGAGAGGGAUCUGUCAGACAUAAGUCAAAUAGUACCAUCUGAAAUGGUUUUAUUGAAUACUAACAUUUAUCAAGCAUGCAGUGAUUUCACUGAACAACUGCAUUCUGUAAUAGACAUUGCAUUUUUAUGCAAUAAAAACACAUAUUUUCAAUUCAUAAAUUGAAUACUUACUGUAGUAUGUACCUCAUUGGUGCAAUUACUAUCAAGACCAGUAGGAGGCACCUUUCAACCUGAUCUUUGUAAAGACAAAUUUAUCGAAGAACUGGGUCAGUCUUUAUGUUUCUCAGACAGCACUGACAAUUCAUUUGUCAUAGGUGUCACGAGAGCUCCAGCACUGAAGCAUCAGCAUGACAUUUACAGUGUGUUUGAUUUAUUUCACAGCACUGCUAUCCUUGGUCUCAGGGGAAUCAUUAAGUGACAAAGUUCAUCAAACAACAAAAGACAAGCUGGUUAAAGCACAAGAACAUGUUACACUCACCUGCUCUCACGAAAUACCAAGCUAUUACAUGAUACUAUGGUAUGAGCAAGUGAUAGGGGAUGCUGCUCUAAAUCUAAUUGGAUACGUGCGUUACACAAAUCCAGCCACAGAAAGUCCAUACACAGAUAAGUUCAAUAUUACAGGAGAUGGUGCAAAAUUCUCUGCUCUUGAUUUUAAGCCGAAUGCAUCUGGGAGAUCUGUUAUGUAUUACUGUGCUGCCAGUGAAGCACAGUGUUAGAGAUCAUUUCAUCUGCCUACAAAACCUCUGUUACCACAAACCAUAACUGUAGUAGGAACUUUUAUUAAACAAUUUUACACAAGCUACAUGCCAUGGUGUCAUUUUUUAUUUAUUUAUUUUUUUUGACAAAUGUCAGUGUUCUUCUCUCUCUCUCGCUCUUUUUUUUAUUUUUAUUUGCAGGUCACAUUAAAACAACAUUGGGAACCUUUUCAAAAGCCUUCAGCAUUUAUUUCAGCAUAAAAUGUGUUAUCAUACGCAAUGCUACAAAAUUAAAAAUCCAUCAGAAAAAAAGAGUAUUUUGGAUAUGUUAAAUACUAAUUAUGUAAUGUGUAUUAAGCAGCCUGGUCUUGUUUAUACGUAGGUAUUAAUACGUAACAUUUACAAGCACAAACCGUAAUUUUGUGUUUUUAUUUUAUUGAUGCUAAAAUGUACAAUUUAAACAUAUUUCAAUGUUUAAAAUGUAGAAAACACUACGUAUUUUUAGCCAAAAAAUUUAAAAUAUUUACGUAUCUUUUAUAUCAUAAAGAUAUUCUUAUGAAUGCAUGUUUUUAUCAUUUUAUCAAUACAGCGAUUUAGAUUUGUAGACCCCUUAAAGAUUUAGUUCAACCAAAAAUGAAAAUUAGCCCAUAAAUUACUCACCCUCAAGUCAUCCUAGGUGUGUGACUUUCUUCUUUUAGACGAAUCCAGUCGGAGUUAUAUUAAAAAUUGUCUUUGAUCUUUCAAGCUGUUUAAUGGCACUCUGCGGGUGUUGCAGUUCAUCAGUCCAAAAGAAGCUAAAUAAAAAGCACCCAUCCAUAAUAAAAAAGUCUCUCACAUGGCUGCGGGGGAUGAACAAAGGCCUCCUGUAGCGAAUCGAUGCGUUUUUGUAAGAAAAAUAUCCAUAUUCAAAACGUAAUAAUAACUUUAUUGUAGCUUGCACCAACAGUUGUACACGGAAGCAGCUCCUGGUGGAUGACGUAUGAGGUUCAGUGUUGUGCAUGUGCUGGUGAGUCUCAUGAAAACCAAUGUUUGUUAACAGGAGCAAAGGAAGCAAAAUUUCCUUACUUUAGCAAAGGAAAACCAGUCCCCACUUGGCUUAUAUCGAAAUCAAAACAUUCUUCUUUACAAAUCCUCGUUUUGUACUUCUAAUUUGUGACCAUUGUUUUGUUUUGAUCUCUCCCCUGCGCUUCCGUGUUCGUCACUUCUGAGGGGCGCAUGCGCAAAGCCGACCUCCAUAUGUCAUCCGCCCAGAGCUGCUUCUGUGUACAACAGUGAGCGCAAACUAGAUUAAAUUGAUAAUUACAUUUUAAAUAUGGUUAUUUUUCUUACAAAAACGCAUCAAAUUACUACAGGAGGACUUUGUUCACCCCCUGGAGCUGUGUGACAUUUUUUAUUAAGGAUAGGCACUUUUUAUGUAACUUGUUUUGGACUGAUGCACUGCAACACCCGCAGAGUGCCAUUAAACAGCUUGAAAGAUCAAAGGCAAUUUUUGAUAUAACUCCGACUGGAUUCAUCUGAAAGAAGAAAGUCAUAUACACUUAGGAUAACUUGAGGGUGAGUAAUUUAUGGGCUAAUUUUAGGUGAACUAAACCUUUAACCUACCCCAAAACCUAAACCCACCCAUUUUAUAGUGAAUAUGCAUUUUUAUCAUUUUAACAAUAAGCGAUUUUGAUUUUAGACCCCUUAACCUACCUCCAAACCUUAGCCUACCCAUUUUAUAGUGAAUAUAAAAGGAUAAAAAUGGCAAACAAAGUAAACAUUACAUGAAGGUUAAACGUUAAAUGUUAUAUAUUUUAAGGGUUUAAAGUGUAUUCUUGUUUAACAUUAUGUAGGCCCAUUCUUGGAAACGAGCUGGCAGCAGAAAUCACACAGAACAGAACUAAAUUUUAUCACUUCAUAUUAAGCAAACGAGUAAACAAUUUAAUAAUGCAAUUAAAAACAAGGUUGUUGAUAUGACAACUAAAAAAAAACAAUAAUAAUAAAAUGAAUGCUGUGAUUUUAAUAUUCAUAAGGAUUCAUUUUUAGUUGUCGUCAAUACGUCAGUUUUGUACGUUUAAAUACUGAAAAUACGUCAGUAUUGUAAGCUUCAGUGCCUGCAAAAACUUAAGUACAUGUACGUUUUAUAGUAAUACGUAAUACAUACAAAUUAUCAUGAGAUCACGACUCAU
Long non-coding RNA from Cyprinus carpio carpio, 2991 nucleotides. NCBI's taxonomy places the organism in Eukaryota, Metazoa, Chordata, Actinopteri, Cypriniformes, Cyprinidae. The record is from Ensembl.